RNAcentral lists this microRNA precursor (145 nucleotides) under Gossypium hirsutum (cotton). RNAcentral's name for it is "MIR7502 microRNA precursor family". It matches the Rfam family "MIR7502 microRNA precursor family". Lineage: Eukaryota; Viridiplantae; Streptophyta; Magnoliopsida; Malvales; Malvaceae. The record is from Rfam by way of RNAcentral.
UAGUAAAAAAAUUAUCAAUUUUUAUUGUUAAAAACUGGUGUUACUAACCGACUAACUAGAUAAUUACAUGUGACUUGUCAUGUGUACCUCAAUUUGACGUAUAUGAAGUAACUUUUAACCGUAUAAAUAGAUGAAAAUUUUAACA